Molecule: ribosomal RNA, 96 nt
Filed under: Kiritimatiellia bacterium
Lineage: Bacteria; Pseudomonadati; Kiritimatiellota; Kiritimatiellia
Description: Kiritimatiellae bacterium (gut metagenome) partial 16S ribosomal RNA
Rfam family: Bacterial small subunit ribosomal RNA
Source: RNAcentral
UUUUCUGAGAGUUUGAUUCUGGCUCAGAACGAACGCUGGUAGCGUGGAUUAGGCAUGCAAGUCGAACGGGAUCGUCUGGAUAGCAAUAUUCGGGCG